ACGCUAGCUACAGGCUUAACACAUGCAAGUCGAGGGGCAGCAUGUUGGUUGCUUGCAACCAAUGAUGGCGACCGGCGCACGGGUGAGUAACGCGUAUCCAACCUACCCAAUACUCAGGCAUAACCCGUUGAAAGACGGACUAAUUCCUGAUGGCAUGUAUUUCUCUCAUGAGUUAUACAUUAAGGAAUUUCGGUAUUGGAUGGGGAUGCGUCUGAUUAGUUUGUUGGUGAGGUAACGGCUCACCAAGACUUCGAUCUGUAGGGGUUCUGAGAGGAAGGUCCCCCACAUUGGAACUGAGACACGGUCCAAACUCCUACGGGAGGCAGCAGUGAGGAAUAUUGGUCAAUGGAUGCAAAUCUGAACCAGCCAAGUAGCGUGCAGGAUGACGGCCCUAUGGGUUGUAAACUGCUUUUAUGUGAGAAUAAAGUUAGGUAUGUAUACUUAUUUGCAUGUAUCACAUGAAUAAGGACCGGCUAAUUCCGUGCCAGCAGCCGCGGUAAUACGGAAGGUCCAGGCGUUAUCCGGAUUUAUUGGGUUUAAAGGGUGCGUAGGCCGUUUGAUAAGCGUGCUGUGAAAUAUAGUGGCUCAACCUCUAUCGUGCAGCGCGAACUGUCGAACUUGAGUGCGUAGUAGGUAGGCGGAAUUCGUGGUGUAGCGGUGAAAUGCUUAGAUAUCACGAAGAACUCCGAUUGCGAAGGCAGCUUACCGUAACGUUACUGACGCUUAAGCACGAAGGUGCGGGUAUCGAACAGGAUUAGAUACCCUGGUAGUCCGCACAGUAAACGAUGGAUGCUCGCUGUUGGCCUUUUUGGUCAGUGGCUUAGCGAAAGCGUUAAGCAUCCCACCUGGGGAGUACGCCGGCAACGGUGAACUCAAAGGAAUUGACGGGGGCCCGCACAAGCGGAGGAACAUGUGGUUUA
Molecule: ribosomal RNA, 920 nt
Filed under: uncultured bacterium
Lineage: Bacteria
Description: bacterial SSU rRNA
Rfam family: Bacterial small subunit ribosomal RNA
Source: RNAcentral